GACGAACGCUGGCGGCGUGCUUAACACAUGCAAGUCGAACGGAAAGGCCCUGCUUUUGUGGGGUGCUCGAGUGGCGAACGGGUGAGUAACACGUGAGUAACCUGCCCUUGACUUUGGGAUAACUUCAGGAAACUGGGGCUAAUACCGGAUAGGAGCUCCUGCUGCAUGGUGGGGGUUGGAAAGUUUCGGCGGUUGGGGAUGGACUGGCGGCUUAUCAGCUUGUUGGUGGGGUAGUGGCUUACCAAGGCUUUGACGGGUAGCCGGCCUGGGCGGGUGACAGGCCACGUUGGGACUGGGAUACGGCCCAGACUCCUACGGGAGGCAGCAGUGGGGAAUAUUGCACAAUGGGCGGAAGCCUGAUGCAGCAACGCCGCGUGCGGGAUGACGGCCUUCGGGUUGUAAACCGCUUUCGCCUGUGACGAAGCGUGAGUGACGGUAAUGGGUAAAGAAGCACCGGCUAACUACGUG
Molecule: ribosomal RNA, 468 nt
Filed under: uncultured bacterium
Lineage: Bacteria
Description: partial 16S ribosomal RNA
Rfam family: Bacterial small subunit ribosomal RNA
Source: RNAcentral